GGACUACCCGGGUUUCUAAUCCUGUUUGCUACCCACGCUUUCAUGCCUCAGCGUCAGUUACGGUCCAGAGAAUCGCCUUCGCCACUGGUGUUCUUCCUAAUCUCUACGCAUUUCACCGCUACACUAGGAAUUCCAUUCUCCUCUCCCGCACUCUAGAUAUCCAGUUUGAAAUGCAGCACCCAAGUUAAGCUCGGGUAUUUCACAUCUCACUUAAAUAUCCGCCUACGCAUCCUUUACGCCCAGUAAAUCCGGACAACGCUCGCCACCUACGUAUUACCGCGGCUGCUGGCAC
RNAcentral lists this ribosomal RNA (292 nucleotides) under uncultured bacterium. RNAcentral describes it as "partial 16S ribosomal RNA". The record is from RNAcentral.